Molecule: non-coding RNA, 115 nt
Organism: Triticum aestivum (bread wheat)
Lineage: Eukaryota; Viridiplantae; Streptophyta; Magnoliopsida; Poales; Poaceae
Source: Rfam
AAAAUACUCCCUCCGUUUGGAAUUACUUGUCACAAAAAUGAAUGUAUCUACAAUUAAAAUACAUCUAGAUACAUUCAUUUCUUGGACGAGUAAUUCCGAGCGGAGGGAGUAGCAC